This 283-nucleotide ribosomal RNA is filed under the name uncultured bacterium. RNAcentral's name for it is "partial 16S ribosomal RNA". It matches the Rfam family "Bacterial small subunit ribosomal RNA", at positions 510 to 793 of the family's 1533-position model. The record is from RNAcentral.
AGCAGCCGCGGUAAUACGGAGGGUGCGAGCGUUAAUCGGAAUUACUGGGCGUAAAGCGCAUGCAGGCGGCCUGUUAAGUCAGAUGUGAAAGCCCGGACUUAACCUCGGAAUUGCAUUUGAAACUGGCAGGCUAGAGUCUUGUAGAGGGGGUAGAAUUUCAGGUGUAGCGGUGAAAAUGCGUAGAGAUCUGAAGGAAUACCAGUGGCGAAGGCGGCCCCCUGGACAAAGACUGACGCUCAGAUGCGAAAGCGUGGGGAGCAAACAGGAUUAGAUACCCUGGUAG